Molecule: long non-coding RNA, 1670 nt
Organism: Cavia porcellus (domestic guinea pig)
Lineage: Eukaryota; Metazoa; Chordata; Mammalia; Rodentia; Caviidae
Exons: 3
Source: RefSeq, a predicted model, not a curated record
GCUCCGCCUCCCUCGCUCUCUUUGCUUCCGGGUUGGAAUUCUGAACUGAAUCCUCGAGGGUUAAAGAUUUAGAGACCUUGGAGUGGGGAGUUUGGAACGGGAUGAAGGACAAGAAAUCUGGCUUGAUGAGUGCUCACUGGUGGCGACUGAUUUAGUAAGAUUUAGGAGCUACUGAUGUCCAGUCUCUUUUGCUGCCUACUUCUACCCCGAAUAUCUUGGAAGCUCCCUCACCUUGGGCACAGUGGAUCUCUUCUCUAGGUUAUAGAGGCAAAGCAUACAGAGCCUCCUGAGUCAUGUAGAACUGGUUCCAGCUCAUAUUCCUUUCCUCAUUGCUGCUUUAACAACUUGCUAUAAAUCUGGGGACAUAAAACAGAACUAACUUGCUAUCUUACAGUUCUGGAUGCCAGGUGGUUCACUCAGUUAUGGAGCCAGACAAACCACAUGACAGGCUGUCUGUAAGCUGGAGAACCGGGACGCUGGGAGAGUGGCUCAGAUCAGUUCCCAAAGCCUCACAACUAGGGAGGCCAACGAUACAAUUCUGAGGACAAAGGUCCAAAAAUCUAGGAGAGGUUGCAGCUGCAAAUCCCAGGAUUGGAAAGCUGGAGAACGCGUGGUUUUGUCUGAGUCACGCUCCUUUUGCAGGGACAAAAUACCCCAAUACCAGCAACUUGAAGGAAGAUGUUUAUUUCGGCUCACAGUUUCAGUCCACAAUUGACUCCAAGGCUGCAGGGCAUGUGGAAGGCCCUGGCUGAGGAGGGCUGCUCGCCUCAUGGAGACCAGCAAGCAUGGGGAGAAGGGAGGAUGCAGGAGAGAAAUGAAUCCUUUGGGCCAUUCUCUUUCUGAUCCACGUCUUCCAACUGGUCCUGCCCGCUACCAGCAUACUUAGCUGUAAAGUUCCCCAAUCCAAUCACUUUCCUGAUGUUCAGCACAGGGCCACACUAGAUCCAUGCUACAAGUUCUGAUUUCCAAAGGCAGAAGAAGAUGAAAGUCUCAGCUCAGAGGGUAGAGGGGAUUACUAUAAAGGAAUGAAUCUGCUUGUCCUCUGUCCUUUUGUGUUAAACAGGGCCCUCAAGGGGUUGGACAGUGGCUAUCCACAAGCCCUGAGCACACAUCUCUCUUACUCAUUCCCUGAUUUAAAUGCCAGUCUUUGCUGGAAACUCCUUCACAAGUAUGUCAAAAUUAGUGCUUUCCUAGCUAUUUGGGCUUCCUUUAAUCAAGUUGACACUUAAAUUUGACCAUCACGCUCUCUCUAAUUAGUGAAUAAUUUAAUUGUAUUUUACUUUCCAUGAUGGAUGAACUGCCAAAAUGUCAUUGGUUGAGUUUUCUAGAACAUACUAAAUGAGGGCUGAAAGAUAAAAUUUGGUUGAUGUAAAUAUACAUAAUAUUUAUUAUACAUUAUUUAUUGAAAUAGAUCACAGUAAAGGAAAUAUUGCUAGUAACCUCCUCAAAUGCUCUCCCUUGCUUCGCAUACACUUAUCCUGUUGUUCUUGGCAAUGUUUCUCCUACUAUUGUGGUUUUUUUAAAGUUUAAUAUUCACAGUACUUUUUAAUCAUCCCUUAUAUGCUCAGUGCAAGAGAUUAAAAGAGAUUGAAGUGUUUUUUUUAACUUUCAGCAUUGUUCUAUUAUAAUGUUAAUAAAGUGUAUGUGUUUUCAGGGCAUUGGAACAAUAA